AUUUAAAUAGCUUAAAAUUAAAGUUUAAUAAUGAAAAUAUUAAGAUGAUUUUUAAAUCUUUAAAUA
RNAcentral lists this transfer RNA (66 nucleotides) under Habrobracon hebetor. RNAcentral's name for it is "tRNA-Phe". The record is from RNAcentral. Lineage: Eukaryota; Metazoa; Arthropoda; Insecta; Hymenoptera; Braconidae.